UGGACCACGCUGUCCUGUCUUCGCAAUUCCCUGCGACUCUCUAAUUAUUUCAAAAUUAAGUUUUUGAAAAAACAACAUGCGUGCGUGGCGUGAUGUCUACAAUUUGCUUUCAAAUCCUCCAGCCAAAUGGGGAAAAAGCCAGAGAGGGAGCCCACAGGAGGUGAUAAAACGAGAUUGCCAGACGUUGCCGGGGAUGAAGCCGAGGGCUGGGGAUGCUGGAAUCCGUGUCUGGUCCUCUCGACUUCUGUGUGUUUUUGAAAUUUUCCGUAAGAAAGAUGUAAAAUGAAAAAUGCUGAUAGUCGGGGAGGCAGAGGUGGGGGGUUGGGGGCAGUGCGCGCCGGCCCAGACCCCUGCGGGCAGGCGUGCCCCGCGAACGCUGACUCACGCUCCGUGCUGGGCCCAGGAAUUCUUCCAGACAGCUGUGUGUUGAUGCCCUGGGGACGGCGCAGAGGCCUGUCUACCACCCAUGCGUCCAAGAACGAAGGCUCCCCGCGCAAGGGGGUCCCCGGGGUGGGGUCGAAAGCCUGCAAUUACUGCUGAUGACAACCUUCGGGCCAGCUCCAUGGUGCGGUUUAUGGAGACUCUGAGCCGGACACACAGAGGUUCGCUGCGGGAUGAAAGGCCAGCUGGAAGGGCAUGAUGGGCAGGGGACGGGCACGGCCUGGGAAAAGGACACAAACGCACGAAUGUCAUCAGUCUGGGCUGGUGGCUGCUGGGUGCCAUCCUUCCAUCCCGCGCCCACUGCGUGGGGUCAAGACUUGUCCGCAUCCGGGGAAGGAGUGACCACAACACCCUGGGCUCCUGGAACCGCUUGUCCCCUCUAAGCUCCCACUCCAGCCUCAAUGGUCCAUCCUAACAUGGUUCCCCAUGGCCCCCAGCAGGAACCAUAAACUCACAUGCCCUUGGGGACCAGGCUGGGGACCAAGGAGUGAAGGAGGCUGGAGGGAGACAAUAGGGAGUGGUGGAGACUGUGAACAACGGGAGACCACAGGCCCCUGACACUGGGCAGCUGUCACUCAGCUCCAACUCGUGUUCGUCAUGCAGGACUGUGGGUCCAGGGCUGCCAGAGUUUUCCAUUGUUCGAGUAAGUCAGAAAGCUGGAUUGUUUUUAAUCCUGAUUUCUAAAUAUUGCAAUUCCAACAAAACAAU
RNAcentral lists this long non-coding RNA (1149 nucleotides) under Equus caballus (horse). RNAcentral describes it as "lncRNA (ENSECAG00000060132.1)". Lineage: Eukaryota; Metazoa; Chordata; Mammalia; Perissodactyla; Equidae. The record is from RNAcentral.